AUAAUGGGUCAGCGACUUAUAUUCUGUAGCAAGGUUAACCGAAUAGGGGAGCCGAAGGGAAACCGAGUCUUAACUGGGCGUUAAGUUGCAGGGUAUAGACCCGAAACCCGGUGAUCUAGCCAUGGGCAGGUUGAAGGUUGGGUAACACUAACUGGAGGACCGAACCGACUAAUGUUGAAAAAUUAGCGGAUGACUUGUGGCUGGGGGUGAAAGGCCAAUCAAACCGGGAGAUAGCUGGUUCUCCCCGAAAGCUAUUUAGGUAGCGCCUCGUGAAUUCAUCUCCGGGGGUAGAGCACUGUUUCGGCAAGGGGGUCAUCCCGACUUACCAACCCGAUGCAAACUGCGAAUACCGGAGAAUGUUAUCACGGGAGACACACGGCGGGUGCUAACGUCCGUCGUGAAGAGGGAAACAACCCAGACCGCCAGCUAAGGUCCCAAAGUCAUGGUUAAGUGGGAAACGAUGUGGGAAGGCCCAGACAGCCAGGAUGUUGGCUUAGAAGCAGCCAUCAUUUAAAGAAAGCGUAAUAGCUCACUGGUCGAGUCGGCCUGCGCGGAAGAUGUAACGGGGCUAAACCAUGCACCGAAGCUGCGGCAGCGACGCUGAUGCGUUGUUGGGUAGGGGAGCGUUCUGUAAGCCUGUGAAGGUGUGCUGUGAGGCAUGCUGGAGGUAUCAGAAGUGCGAAUGCUGACAUAAGUAACGAUAAAGCGGGUGAAAAGCCCGCUCGCCGGAAGACCAAGGGUUCCUGUCCAACGUUAAUCGGGGCAGGGUGAGUCGACCCCUAAGGCGAGGCCGAAAGGCGUAGUCGAUGGGAAACAGGUUAAUAUUCCUGUACUUGGUGUUACUGCGAAGGGGGGACGGAGAAGGCUAUGUUGGCCGGGCGACGGUUGUCCCGGUUUAAGCGUGUAGGCUGGUUUUC
This 917-nucleotide ribosomal RNA is filed under the name Escherichia coli. RNAcentral describes it as "partial 23S ribosomal RNA". It matches the Rfam family "Bacterial large subunit ribosomal RNA", at positions 612 to 1533 of the family's 2925-position model. Lineage: Bacteria; Pseudomonadati; Pseudomonadota; Gammaproteobacteria; Enterobacterales; Enterobacteriaceae. The record is from RNAcentral.